GGUCGAUCUUCUUCAGCUCUGACUUUGGAGAAGGAAAGCAUCUCCGCGCCAAAGUUCACUGCCGGUGCGUACGCUGCUUAACCUGCGCACCCUCACCCCUUUUCUUCCAUUUCUCUUCUGCUCCCCUCAAUUUUCCUUCUCUCUCUCUCUCUCUCUCUCUCUAAAACUUUCUGCCUCUAAAACUGCACAGUCUGGGAACUCCAUCGGCGACUCUAAUUGAGGUUGGAUAGCCUGGAAAUUUCAACAUGUAUAUAAAACAGGUCAAAAUUGAGGGAUUUAAGAGCUACAAGGAAGAAGUUGCUACUGAGCCCUUUAGUCCGAAAGUCAACUGUGUUG
Long non-coding RNA from Morus notabilis, 336 nucleotides. RefSeq lists it as uncharacterized. Lineage: Eukaryota; Viridiplantae; Streptophyta; Magnoliopsida; Rosales; Moraceae. The transcript has 3 exons. The record is from RefSeq and is a predicted model, not a curated record.